RNAcentral lists this ribosomal RNA (252 nucleotides) under uncultured bacterium. Its description in RNAcentral is "partial 16S ribosomal RNA". It matches the Rfam family "Bacterial small subunit ribosomal RNA", at positions 528 to 779 of the family's 1533-position model. The record is from RNAcentral.
CGAAGGGCUAGCGUUGUUCGGAUUUACUGGGCGUAAAGCGCACGUAGGCGGUUUGUUAAGUGAGAGGUGAAAUCCCAGAGCUCAACUCUGGAACUGCCUUUCAUACUGGCAAGCUAGAGUCCGGAAGAGGUAAGUGGAACUCCUAGUGUAGAGGUGGAAUUCGUAGAUAUUAGGAAGAACACCAGUGGCGAAGGCGGCUUACUGGUCCGGAACUGACGCUGAGGUGCGAAAGCGUGGGGAGCAAACAGGAUU